Molecule: unclassified non-coding RNA, 155 nt
Organism: Mesocricetus auratus (golden hamster)
Lineage: Eukaryota; Metazoa; Chordata; Mammalia; Rodentia; Cricetidae
Source: Ensembl
UAGCCCACCUACUUGUAGCCAGUGUUCAAACCUUCUGUGACUUUUUCUCCCGACAACUUUUGAGGUCUUUCUUCUGAAAAAAGAAGAAAUAGACAAACCAGAUUUGUCCUCUUGGAAAUGUGGUCCAGAUUUCUCUACUCCCAAUCUCCAAAACA